Molecule: ribosomal RNA, 400 nt
Filed under: uncultured bacterium
Lineage: Bacteria
Description: bacterial SSU rRNA
Rfam family: Bacterial small subunit ribosomal RNA
Source: RNAcentral
GAAUAUUGGACAAUGGGCGCAAGCCUGAUCCAGCCAUGCCGCGUGAGUGAUGAAGGUCUUAGGAUUGUAAAGCUCUUUCACCGGAGAAGAUAAUGACGGUAUCCGGAGAAGAAGCCCAGGCUAACUUCGUGCCAGCAGCCGCGGUAAUACGAAGGGGGCUAGCGUUGUUCGGAAUUACUGGGCGUAAAGCGCACGUAGGCGGAUAUUUAAGUCAGGUGUGAAAUCCCAGAGCUCAACUCUGGAACUGCCUUUGAUACUGGGUAUCUUGAGUAUGGAAGAGGUAAGUGGAAUUCCGAGUGUAGAGGUGAAAUUCGUAGAUAUUCGGAGGAACACCAGUGGCGAAGGCGGCUUACUGGUCCAUUACUGACGCUCAGGGACGAAAGCGUGGGGAGCAAACAGG